This is a long non-coding RNA of Pseudophryne corroboree (corroboree frog), 393 nucleotides long. RefSeq lists it as uncharacterized. The record is from RefSeq and is a predicted model, not a curated record. The transcript has 3 exons. Lineage: Eukaryota; Metazoa; Chordata; Amphibia; Anura; Myobatrachidae.
GGCUCCUGAGGAAGAAGUCGUGAGAGGUCCCAAAGCCGCACGCGUCGUCUGGAGAAAGCAGAUCAAGAUCAACCGCCGGAUACAGUACUCCAACAUCAUAACUCAUCAGAGUAUAUAGUCAAGGUGUCAUUUGCUCUUUCCGAUAACUUUUUAAUGAUACCACAUUCCCAGAAGUUGUGGAAAAAGGUUGCCGAAGAGUGAAAGCAUUUCAUACAACUUCCAGUCUCUUCCUCUACGAAAUGUCGUCUCUGUGCCUGGGAGAUAUAUGCCCUGUACACAGUUUUAACAUGAAUCUCUUGUAAAGAGGAUGUCUUCAGUAUUUGUAAUGUUUUAUCAUAAUGUUGGAAUAUGUAUUCCGAAUUUGUAAUGCUUGGAAUAAAUCUACACCAAGAA